RNAcentral lists this transfer RNA (73 nucleotides) under Candidatus Nealsoniibacteriota bacterium. RNAcentral's name for it is "Candidatus Nealsonbacteria bacterium tRNA-Lys". It matches the Rfam family "tRNA". From Rfam's summary of the family: Transfer RNA (tRNA) molecules are approximately 80 nucleotides in length. Their secondary structure includes four short double-helical elements and three loops (D, anti-codon, and T loops). The record is from RNAcentral. Lineage: Bacteria; Candidatus Nealsoniibacteriota.
GCCUCCAUAGCUCAACUGGUAGAGCAGCUCGCUCUUAACGAGAAGGUUGCAGGUUCGAGCCCUGCUGGGGGCA